Molecule: long non-coding RNA, 10285 nt
Filed under: Homo sapiens (human)
Lineage: Eukaryota; Metazoa; Chordata; Mammalia; Primates; Hominidae
Description: non-protein coding lnc-CLCNKB-1:6
Source: RNAcentral
ACUCGCGGCCCCUAACCUGCCCCGGGAGCCCGGGAGUGCGGCUUGGGAAGGAGGGAAAGGAGUGUGUGAGCAGGGAUUGGCCCGAACCUAUCUCCACGCUCUCCCCCGGGACUGGAGGUGAAGGGGGGCGUGGAGAAAAUCUCAGGGAACAGGGGCUUCGACAGGGGGCUCCCGCCCGCCCGAGCCCCCUCCCCAAAAUGCGAGGCCUGCACAGUAUGCCUUCUCCGCAAAACCUCGGCAAGCGGGUUAGUGAAUUCAGGUCACUAAGAAGCUGAGCCCGCGGAAAGCUGCCCAAACACCCCCUUCUCUAGGGGACUCCCCACGCCCCCCGCCGGGACGCGUUCCCGAAGUCGCCGCCUGGACUGCAACCGCGUGGCCUGCGCCGCGUCCUCUUCUCCGCAGCCUCCGAGGCCCGUGCGACCAAGCUGAAACCGCUUAUUCUCCGGAGCCCCUAUGACCCCGGGUGGGGGCCAGGGCUCGCCUCGAUCGCAGCCCGUGCGCCCUCCGGACUCCAGUUCGCCGGGACUGGGCGACACCAGAAGCGGCUAGUGUGAGUGAAACAAACGGGAAAUUUGCUCUGGCCCGCCUGCCCAGCCACCCACGGCUGCCUGUUGGCCAAUCACCAUUUGACCAGUCCAGGAAGAGCAACUGUGGCAGGCCUGAUUUCCUGGGAGGCCCCAGACUCCCUUUGCCUACCUCUUCCUCUCUGACCCCAUCCUCGCUUUGAUGCCCGGGACCUGCUACCCAGAAACAACGUGAGGCUCAGAGAGAAGAAAUGACUAAAAUUACACAGCUGGUACAUGGCAGAGGUGGAACUAAAAAGUUAAGUGUGUCUACCCCAGAGCCGAGUAGACCUGCUCUUUUUUGAACACUUCCUGGACUUUCAUGCCUUUGUCCCAGCUGUGCCCUCUCCCUGGAUGCCCCUUCCAUCUGGGCAGCUCCUACUAGACCUGCCUUGGCAUACAUAACACAGGAGAACGGAUUGCCAAAGGGUAGGAGAGUGCCUGGUCUAUAGUGUGCGCCCAACACAGAUUUGGUGAAUGAAUGAACACUGGGUCCAGCAGACCUGGAUUCUUCCAUGUAACCCACUGUGUGGCCUUGGUGGAGCCAUGCGGGUGCAAUAAUCCUGGUUUCCACCCUUCAGGGCUGCUGCUGGGACUCAGUGAGAUCAUCAUGUAUCUAAUGCCCUUUGCUCAGUGCUGGGCACACAGUCAAUGCGCAUUGAAUCUUAGCUAUUGCUACCUUUACAAUCAAUCAAAAGUCACUUCUGAAGAAUAGACAGGGCUCCCCCAGGCCAAAUAAAUAAUUCCUCCCGGGACAAACCCCAGCUCUCACUCCCUCCUCUUUAGGCAGGGGGCUCCCUGAAGGACAGAGACCCGGUUUUAUUCCAUCUUGCCGUCCCCCAUGGUGCCGGGCAUACAGUGGUGCCCAGUAAACGUGUGUGUUGCACAAACAUGCGGUAACUAGGGCCCCAUCUUUUUCAAAAGAACACACUCCCCAGGUGCAGCCGCAAAGAGAGACUGUUCAGCUGUUCAGGUGAGGUUUUGGGGUGAAACUCGUCUGAAUAAUAGUUUUACUGAACACAGCCUCACCCCCAACAAGGAGGCAAUUUGAGGUGGGGGUGGGGAGACUUAAAUGUGGGCUCCCGGGUUUUAAAGGGGGUAGCGCGGGAGGAAGCCCCCCAAUAAUUGCGGGGCUUCCCCCACCCCCAGAGCUGGAUUAGAGGCUGCGCCACUUCCUUUGGGGCUCGCUCGCGCUUCCUGGGAGCCUUUGAUGUGGGUUCUUGGUAGAUCCUGCCCGCGGGGCCUGGAUGCGGGCGGAGCCUCCGGGCAGGGCGGGGCCUCAGCCUGGGUCCGCACUGGGGAGGCGGCCACCCGGUAGCUUGGGCGGGUUCCGCCCACCUCCCGCCUGUAUUUACAGCCCCCUUCCAACAUCCCCGACUCCCUGAGGGCGCCCCUCAUUCUGCUCGGCCUUGCCUUCCCCAUUCGGCCACAUCCUCCUCUCUCCCAACUCAGCUUCGACCCCCAAAGCCUUUCCCUAACCAUCGGAACCACAGGCUUUUCUCCGGCCUCUGAGUGCCAGUCUUCAACUAGGUGUCUUUUAAAAAAUCAAAAAGCAUCUCAUCCUACGGGAUGUGUGUGAAAAAAUAAAAAUAAAAUAAAGAAAAAGGGGGCCGGGCGCGGGAGCUCACGCCUGUAAUCCCAGCACUUUGGGAGGCCUAGGCGGGCGGAUCACCUGCAGUCAGGAGUUCGAGACCAGCUUGACCAAACUAGAGAAACUCCGUCUCUACUGAAAAUACGAAAUUAGCCGCGCAUGGUGGCGCAUGUCUGUAAUCCUAGCUACUCUGGAGGCUGAGGCAGGGGAAUCUCUUGAACCUGGGAGGUGGAGGUUGCAGUGAGCCGAGAUAGCGUCAUUGCACUCUUGCCUGGGCAAUAACAAGAGCGAAGCUCCAUCUCCAAAAAAAAAAAAAGAAGAAAGAAAAAAAGAAAAAGAUAGCCCAUCGCUCCUCCAUUGCAGACCCAAAGGCUGUCAGCUGAAUGGAAGGUGCUUCCUCACGACCUUUGGGAUAAGUAAAUUUGAAGUAAUAGAAAUAGCCAGCUGGGCGCGGUGGCUCAUGCCUGUAAUCCCAGCACUUUGGGAGGCUGAGGGGGGCAGAUCACCUGAAGUUAGGAGCUCGAGACCAGUCUGGCCAACAUGGUGAAACCCCGUCUCUACUAAAAAUAAUUAGCCAGGCGAGGUGGCGUGCACCUGUAAUCCCAGCUACUCAAGGAGGCUGAGGCAGGAGAAUAGCUUGAACCCGGGAGGCAGAGUUUGCAGUGAGCUGAGAUCGCGCCAUUGCACUCCAGUGAGCCGAGAUCGCACCAUUGCACUCCAGCCUGGGCAACAAGAGCGAAACUCCAUCUCAAAAAAAAAAUUUUUUUUGAAAAAUAGGCCAGGCCUGCCUCAGUGCUCUUACACGUACUGUCCCCUCUGCCUGGAUCAGUUUGUGCCCCUGCCCCCAAAUUUUCAGGGCUGGCUCCCUCGCCUCCUUCAGAUCUCUGUUUGAAGUUCAGCUCAUGUCUGCCACAUGUCCUAACCACCGUAUUUAAAAUAGCAGCCUCAGGCCAGGUGCGGUGGCUCACGUCUGUAAUCCCAGCACUUUGGGAGGCCAAAGCAGGCAGAUCACCUGAGGUUGGGAGUUCGAGACCAGCCUGACCAACGUGGAGAAACCACAUCUCUACUAAAAAUACAAAAUUAGCCGGGCGUGGUGGAGCAUGCCUGUAAUCCCAGCGACUCUGUCUCAAAAUAAAAUAAAAUAAAAUAAAUAAAAUAAAAUAAAAUAAAAUAAAAUAAAAUAUAAAAUAAAAUAAAAUAAAAUAAAAUAUAGCAGCCUCUCACCCCACUCCACCUCUGGACUCCCUGUCCCCCUUCCUUGCUGUAUUUUUCUCCAUAGCAAUUACCACCACCAGCUGCCACACUCCAGAGAUUACCGUUCGUUUGUCUAUUGUCUGUCUCCCCCUGCUCACACCACCCCCAUUCGUGUGUGAGCUCCAGGAGAAGGGCCGGGGUUGCUGCUGCUCUGUGAGUCAUGAACCGUCCCCACCCCCUAGUCUGUCCUACAAAUUUGUUAAAUGAAUGAGCAAAUAAACAUAGUGGCUUCCCAGCUGACCAGUGAUGAAAGCUUACACUGCGUGAUCUAGGCUAGUCACUGCUGUCUUUCCCUCCCUCUCCUCAUCAGUGCAUUGAGAGAUGACAGUAGCUCGGCCUCUUAGAGCAGUAUGACGAUGGCACAAGUUACUAUUUGCCAAGCACAGAGCAUGACGUCAUGCCCAGAAGCCCAGGAUACAAUCCAGAGACAAUGACAAAUGGGGGAUUCCCGCUUCUGCAGAAGGUGGGGCGACUGGUGCCCAGGGGCCCCCAGGAAGUGCCCUUACCUGACUCCCAGGAUCCUCCUCUGUGACCCUGGGGCCUUCCAACCUGCCAGGUACUUUUCCUGUAUUAUCUUAUUUUAUCCUCCCAAUAGCCUCUGUGAGCAGCACACUCCCCAUUUCACAGACAAGGAAACUGAGGCUUACACAAGUGAAGUGACCUGCUCGACGUUGCACAAGGAAGUGGCAAAGUCAGCCUCUGAAUCCAAGCCGUUGGGCUCUAAAGGCCCUGAUGCCACUCAGCUAACCAUGUGGCCUCUGGACAUCACUGCCAUCUUUUCUCUUACCCUCCUCUCCUCCUUGCACUGUGUUCUGAGGGUCAGCCUGACAACCCGUGUCCCCUGGGCAGAUGUGCAGAGGAAGAUCAAGUUGUUGUUCGCCAGGGGCCGAGGGCAAAUUUCUGGCUUCCCACGGCCACCACUUACUGGGAGUUUCGGAUGAGGUGCUUCACUGCCCUGAGCUCUUCUUCCGGGUCAAGUGGGGAUAAAAAUAAAACAAUACCCACCUUGUGGGAAGACAUGGGAUCCUGAAAAACCUGGCAACGUGCCUGGCACAUGGAUCUCGCUCUGUCACCCAGGCCAGAGUGCAGUGGUGCGAUCAUGACUCUCUACAGCCUUCCAUCUCCCCAGGCUCAGAGCCGGCGCUCAGUGAGUGCAUGAGUGAGUAAGCGGCUGACCAGCGACUAUGCAGCAUGAAUGAAUGACAGACUGAAUGACAUGAAGCCUGGAGUCUCAAGGCCGAGACUGCAAAAGAAGAGUCCAUCCUCCUAUCCCCUCUGCUCUGAACUCUCUUCAUGAUCCUGAAGGUGCUUGGUACCUGGAGACUACGGAGCCAGCCUGCCGGGGUUCUAGUCUGAACUCAGUCACUUCCCAGCUGUGUAACUUUGGACAAGUUACUUAACCUCUCUGUGCCUCUGGUCCCUUCUCUGUAAAGUGUAGUCAUCGGCCGGGCGUGGUGGCUCACGCCUGUAAUCCCAGCACUUUGGGAGGCCAAGGCAGACGAAUCACUUGAGGUCAGGAGUUCAAGACCAGCCUGCCCAACAUGGUGAAACCCUGUCUCUACUAAAAACACAAAAAUCAGCCGGGUGUCGGGGGCAGGCACCUGUAAUCCCAGCUACUCGGGAGGCUAAGGCACGAGAAUUGCUUGAACCCGGGAGGCGGAGGUUGCAGUGAGCUGACAUCUCGCCACUGCACUCCAGCCUGGGCAACAGAGUGAGACUCAAAAAAAAAAAAAAAAAAUACAGAGGUAAUCAUAGUGCCUCCUUCACAGGGUUUUUGAGAGGACUGAAUGAGUUUUACAAGUGAAGUGCUUAGAACGACGUUGCACAUGUAGUGAGAACUACAUGAGUGUUGGCCAAUGCUAUUACUGAGGUUCCAGCUUACGCGUUCAUUGAGUCACUCACUCACUCACUGUUCAUUCACUGAUUCGCUCCUACAUGCCAUCCGCCACUUACACACCCCUCCCUCUUCACCGUCAUCUGUUAAGCAAUCCCCGUGUGCCCGGCUCUCUCCUCUCGGUCCUCCCAGCCCCCCUUUGCCAGUCUUGGAUGGUGCCCGCCGUGCUGCCAAUUACCCUAACAAUUUCAUUAAUUCCUCUCAAGCCCAAAACAAACAAGAAGGACCUAUCUGGAGCAGGGGUCACGUGCUAAGACCAGAAGCAGGUGUGGGACAAACCCUCUAGGACGAGUUCUUUGACCAGAGUUCAUCACCGGAGCUGCUCCAGAGAUGGCCAGGCCUCCCCACCUGCAGGUGCCCGGCCAGUGCCCCCCACCCCGGGCAGCCUCACCCACUCCCCUCUUUGAGUAAAGGUAAAGGGACUUGCCCAAGGCUGGGUUCUCCCACAUCCCGACUGCACCUGUCCACAUUUCAGGCUUCAUUCAUGCCAGGAGCCCCAGACCUGCUCCAUGCACCAGCUCCGCCCAAGCCUGGAGCCCCGGGCUGGCUGAGGUGAGAGCCCCAAAGCUCGAGCCCAUUUCAGCAGCUAACAAUUAGAGCUGGUGUGAACAUGAUGACUGCAUGCUGAUUAAUGUAAGAUGGCUGAGCAGAAGAUCCCGCCAUUUCCUUCCCCACAGGCCCUGGGAGAACAGGUCCCGCUGGGGAAGACUCUGUCGUGUUCUGCAAAAGCCAUUUCUUGAGCACGUCCUGCAGGCCGGGCACUGCGCUGGGCACUUGAUUCCUUUCAACAGCAUGACAUGGUGGGAGGACAACUUGCCUCUCAUUGAUGAAGAAACGGAGGCUCAGAGAGGUAAAGGAACUUGCCCAAGGCCACACAGCCAGUCAGUGUGGUCCUGGAAUUCCAAUCCAGGUCUUCUCUUGCUGAUUCCUACCCCCAGGGAUGAGCCAGUUUGACAUUUGUGGAACUGGAGAGAGGCUGGGUUUGGGCAUAAGGUAAUGUUUAGGCCAGAGGGUGGAGAAGGAGAGGACAGCCAGAGAGGCAGAGCCAAGCGCCAGGCAGGAACAAUGGUACAGGGCAGGUAACGGGAGCCCGGCCAGCUCUGGGACUCCUGGGCAGGCCCUGCUGGGCCCUGCGAGCAACAGGCUCACCCUGUGGAGCUGCCAGGGUGACAGCAGCCUCGAUCUGCUGACUCAACGAGUGCAUCGGCCUUUUCCUGGAAAACAGUAGACGCAGUGUGGGUGUCGGAGGGAGGCACCUGUUUGGGAAAAGGGUGUGUGGGAACCCUGUCCUGCCCUGCAGCUCCCCACAGCCAGUGUACAGGUACUUAGCUCCAGGUGCCCCCCGAACCUCCCACCACCUGCCCAGACCCCAGAAGCCACCGGAUCCAGGAGUCCGAGCCAGCUGUGGGCUGAGUCCAUGGUGCCACCAAGGCUCUGCAUGACCAGUGCUGCCAGCCACCACCUCAGCCAAGCAGCACAGCCUCUCAGGGCAUGUCCCCACUUGCUGUCUGCAGAGCCUUGUUUUGCCCCACCCUGAAGGGGCAGGUGUAGACGAGCAUUGAGGCAGGUCUAUGUGACACCACUUGCUGUCACUCUUCUUUGGGAGGUAUCAGGGCCACUCUGCCACGGGGCACAGCUUAGGGCCUCCAUGGAAUCUGGUCUGAAGGAUCCCGCUGCCCAGAGGGGGGUCAAGAAUACGGAAUGGGUUCAGGAGCACCCCCUGUCUUCAGGAUCCAGUUGGGGGAGGUCCCAGCAGGGCCAGUCACAGACACUUGUCACACCCUGGAGGGGAUAAUAGGAUCUGGGGCUCAGCCUCCACCAAUUUCAUCACCACACACCACACCCAGGCAAGGGAGAGCAGAGGCAUCAGCAGGGCCUGGCUGAGGGGCUGAAGCCUGGUGGGGAAGCAGGGAGGGCCCCUGGGCCUCUCGGUCCUAUCUCUUCCCAAUCCAGGCCUCAGCGGACUCCAGGGCAGGGGUGCGGGAGCUGAUUUCCAGGUGCAAUAUUCACUGUCACCAUGGCCGCUUCCAGCACCCAGCCUGAAUUUCCUAGUGCAAUGCUGGGAAGAACUAGUCUUUUUCUUUUUUUUUCUUUUUUUCUUUUUUUUUUUUUUUGAGACAAACUCCUGCACUGUCGCCCAGACUGGAGUGCAGUGGCACGAUCUCAGCUUGCUGCAACCUUCGACUCCCAGGUUCAAGCGAUUCUCUUACCUCGGCCUCCCAAGUAGCUGGGAUUACCAGUGCCCCACCACCACGCCUGGCUAAUAUUUUUUUUUUUUUUUUUUUUGAGACGGAGUCUUGCUCUGUCACUGAGGCUGGAGUGCAGUGGCGCGAUCUCAGCUCACUGCAAGCUCCGCCUCCCGGGUUCACGCCAUUUUCCUGCCUCAGCCUCCCAAGUAGCUGGGACUACAGGCGCCCGCCACCACGCCCGGCUAAGUUUUUGUAUUUUUAGUAGAGACGGGGUUUCACUGUGGUCUCAAUCUCCUGACCUCGUGAUCCACCUGCCUCGGCCUCCCAAAGUGCUGGGAUUACAGGCGUGAGCCACCGUGCCUGGCCAAUUUUUUUGUAUUUUUAGUAGAGAUGGGGUUUCGCCAUGUUGACUGUGGCUGGUCUCGAACUCCUGACCUUAUGAUCCCCCUGCCUUUGCCUCCCAAAGUGCUGGGAUUACAGGUGUGAGCCACCGUGCCUGGCCUCUUUUUCUUUUUCUUUUGAGAUAGGGUCUCACUCUGUCACUCAGGCUGGAGUACAGUGGAGUGAUCAUGGCUCACUGCAGCCUCUACCUCCCAAGCUCAAGUGAUCCUCCCACCUCAGCCUCCUGAGUAGCUAGGAUACAGGCACUCACCACCACACCUGGCUAAUUAAAAAAAAAUUUUUUUUUUUGAGACAGAGUCUCGCUCUGUCGCCCAGGCUGGGGGGCAAUGGCGCGAUCUCGGCUCACUGCAAGCUCCACCUCCUGGGUUCACGCCGUUCUCCCACCUCAGCCUCCUGAGUAGCUGGGACUACAGGCGCCCACCACCACGCCCAGCUAACUUUUUGUAUUUUUAGUAGAGACAGAGUUUCACCUUGUUAGCCAGGAUGGUCUUGAUCUCCUGACCUCAUGAUCUGCCCGCCUCGGCCUGCCAAAGUGCUGGGAUUACAGGCAUGAGCCACCAUACCCUGUCAAAAAAAAUUUUUUUAGAGAUGAUGUCUCACUAUGUUGCCCAGGCUAGUCUCAAACUCCUGAGCUCAAGUGAUCCUUCUGCCUCAGCCUCCCAAAGUGCUGGGAUGACAGGUGUGAGCCACUGUGCCCGGCCUGGGCAGAGCUCCUCCUGAGAGCCCGUCUGAGUGGGCUCGGGUACAGCACUGGCACAUCCUCCGUGUCUUCACUUCCAGCCUCUCAAGCUGUUGUGAGAAUCCUGGGGGCUGGGGAACAUGCUUACACUUUGAGCUGGAAUCGCUGCAGAGCUAGGGUCGGGGAAGUUGUGAUAGUCAAGGGCUUCGGGGAGUAGGCCUAGGUCUGGUGGGUCUGGUUUCAAAGAAGCUCUGCCUUUUACUUGCUGUGUGACUUCAGGCAAGUCACUUCUCCUCUCUGAGCUUCCCUUUCCUUCUUAGUAAAGUUUGGCUGAGUUGAACAGAACCUGCUCCUAGCAGAGUUACAAGGAUUAAAGGGCAUAAUUGGUGCCAAUGGAGUGGUAAACAACACUCAGUGCACAGUGGCGGUGAUUUUUAUUGUCCCCUUAUUCAGUCAAGAACUUGGCAUAUCCGGGGCAGUGGCUCACGCCUGUAAUCCCAGCACUUUGGAAUGCCGAGGUGGGUAGAUCACCUGAGGUCAGGAGUACGAGACCAGCCUGGCCAACAUGGCAAAAACCCAUCUCUGCUAAAAAUACAAAAAUUAGCCUGGCAUGGUGGUGCAUGCCUGUAAUCCCAGCUACUCAGGAGGCUGAGGAAAGAGAAUCGCUUGAGCCUGGGAGGCGGAAGUUGCAGUGAGCUGAGAUUGUGCCACUGCACUCCAGCCUGGGUGACAGAGCGAGACUCUUAAAAAAAAAAAAAAAAAAAGGGAGGCAUGGGGGGCUAGGGAAGGGAUAGCAUUAGGAGAAAUACCUAAUGUAAAUAGCGGGUUGAUGGGUGCAGCAAACCACCAUGGCACGUGUAUACCUAUGUAACAAACCUCCAUGUUCAACACAUGUAUCCCAGAAAUUAAAGUAUAAAAAAAAUUACACCAAUAUAAAGAAUGGAUACAUUAUGUGAGUUACUGUGCCAUGUGAUAAUGAAGUUCAAAUUGUAAAUACAACCACUAACUAUUUCUGUGAUUCAUAUUUUUAUAUAAGAAAAAUAAAAAGAAGAAGAAGAACUUGACAUGAAGGACUGGGACAUCAUAGGACCAAGGGGGUGGUCUCUGGAGCCUCUGAGCAUGUUUCAGACUUAGGAACCCUCACAGCUGAGGCCAGGACUGGCCAUGUGCUCCUGUCUCCAGGGCUCUAUGCCCUCCCUUCCCUCUACCCAGCCCACUGCCCCUGCCCCUACUCCCUACCCCUGCCCCACAGACACAGCCAAGCCUCAGGAGGACUCAACCCACAGGAAUGUGGGCAAUGAGCAGGCUGCGCUCGGAGGACCCCGCUAUCCCAGCCCUGGGCUCUGCCGCCCUCUGGUGGCUGGGCUGGGAAGGAUGCUGCUCCCAUUACUGCCGUUGUAGAACCGCAAUUGCCCUAAAAAAAUAAAAUGCUGUUGCUGCUACUCAUGAUGAUGACGAUGAUGGCGAUGACGAUGAUGAUGAUAUUCAUUGCUUUAUGGUUUGCCAAGUACCUUCUCCGUCAAUCAUAGGCUGCACCAAACAGAGUGCAGGGUUCUGGACUGAAAUCAGAUGGGAAUGUAAGUCCCUAGUCAAGUUCCAACUGAUUAUGUGACCUUGGGCAAGUCAUGUCACUUCCUUGAGCCUCAGACUCCUCAUCUGUGGAACGGGGUGACAAAAAUAGGGUUGUUAUAAGGAUUAAAAGACCUAACACCU